GCGCACCAGGCGCGAAACUUCGCAAUGCGCGAAAGCGCGACGAGGGAUUCCAAGUGCAUGCACUAAGUGUAUGCUUUUCGUGAGUUUAAAACGCUCACGGAAUAAGGGCUGGGUAAGACUGGUGCCAGCCGCCGCGGUAAUACCAGCGGCCCUAGUGGUGAUCGUUAUUAUUGGGCCUAAAGCGUCCGUAGCCGGUCCGGUAAAUCUCUGGGUAAAUCGUUGGGCUUAACUCAGCGAAUUCUGGGGAGACUGCUGGGACUUGGGACCGGGAGAGGUCGGAGGUACUCCAGGGGUAGGGGUGAAAUCCUGUAAUCCUUGGGGGACCACCGGUGGCGAAGGCGUCCGACCAGAACGGGUCCGACGGUAAGGGACGAAGCCCUGGGGCGCGAACCGGAUUAGAUACCCGCGUAG
Molecule: ribosomal RNA, 411 nt
Filed under: uncultured microorganism
Description: bacterial SSU rRNA
Rfam family: Archaeal small subunit ribosomal RNA
Source: RNAcentral